GAUCUUCUAUGGAUCUAUUUUAGGUUUUAUUUGCAAUUGGAACCUUGGUAAUUAUGAAAAUCAUGUAAUUAGGACUAGACGAAGACUCAGAGCUGAAGUUGAAGCCGGAGUUGAUCAAGGACUUCUACGAAGGGGAAGCAACUCCAGGUUCACACCCAUUCGAUUUGAAUACCUAUUACGCAUUGCUAUUAGUAUGCUAGUGCUUUAUUUCUUUUCAGCAUGAUGAUGAACCCUACAGAGCCUAUUUUCAUGCCUUGAUUCCUUAUGUGUCCUAUUACUAUACUACUUGUACACGCUAUUGCGAUGCUUGCAUGUGUGCGGGAUAUGGUGAUUAGGAUUCUUAGCGUGAGUGGGGAUAAAACUUGCAGGACAAGAUGUUUUUGGGAUAUUUGAUGGGGGUGAGCUUUACACAACCCAAUCGUUAGAUUCCGGGCUUGGGGUUCAUUCUCAGAUGUUCCCUGCUUCAUACUUGUUGCGAGUACAUGGUUGAGGAGCAUAGGAGUUUGUGGUGGUACCUAUAAUGGGUGAUGUUGCAUCCUCUGCGGUGAGGUGCUUUUGUGGGAGAUUAGGAGCUUGCCCCGGUCUGAAACCGAGUGGGUCACCAUUCUUCAUGGGAAUAUGUCAAACAUGCACACCACUCGCCGAAUUAUGGGUUUAGGCUUGGGUCGAGAUAGGAAAGUGCGUACCAUACCUACUGUAGAUUAGAGUGACGGUGUUAGGGGGAGGAGGGGUGUGGACCCAUAGCCUCCCCUAUGCAUAGCCCCUGACUGGCCCUAGAGGGAGGGCUUCACAGUACCGGGGUGUUCCACUGCGGGGGAUCGCAUCCGAGCCCAGUAACAGGAUGGUAUCAUAACUUUCAGGGUCUUUGCCUGGUAGGGUGAUGUUCAAUCGGCUAAUAAUCGGUUGCGCUCACCCCGAGAUGGGUACAGGUGUACACACUCUGCAGAGUUAAAACUAUACGUAUAGCCGUGUCCUUAGUCAUGGACAACCCUAUGAUAUCACGAAUCUCCAUUGUUUUGGGAUAUUCUAACUCCCCUUUUAGCUACUUAUGAGUGUGGUGAGCCAUAAUUGUUGUCAGGGAGAGGAGAAGUUGCUCGCUUCUGCCUUUUGGAUCCAGCUGUAGUUGUUGAGAUGUGAAGAGAGGGAGCUUUUGCAUCGAUCCUAGUCUGGAGUUAGGAUGUUGGUGAUAGGGACCCUAUUGAGGCAGGUGUGCCCAAUGUGAUGAGGGAUUGGGAUGGUGGAUAUGGAAGUUUAUUCUUUAUGCUUGCUACUGCUUAGGAAACCCGAGCCUACUCCUUGUCUACUUUUUGACCCUUAGUAUUUAGGCCACUUAAAGCUUGCAUACGGAAGGUGUUGUGGACCUGUCCUAUUUCUUGGGGACUGUUCGUGAGUGUGCAGGUAUGGACUUAGAGAGGAGGACUGAUCAUGAAGAAUUCCUGAAGGAAGGGUCGCAUCGCUUCGCUCAAGGCCUGUAGGAAGGUGGUGAAGAUCGAAGAUGAAGACUUGAAGCUCUAGUUUCUGCUGCAUAUGAGUUUUGUGUGUCAUUUAACCCAAGGGACAUGAAUCCUAUUCGUAUUCCGAGUUGAAUCGGUUGUAAAUCUCAAUGUUGUACUCUGAUUUCAAUGUAUGGAAUUGAUAUUAUGCUUAAAUCAGUUCUGUACGUGAUAGCUACUGAUCCAGGGACUAUCGCAAGGGUACAGGGAGUCGGAUUUUCAUAAAUGAAAACCAGUUCGUUUCAGUUGGUAUCAGAGCCAUACUUGACUGUAGUGCGUGACCCUAGGCAUGGACGUUAGCAAUAAGGAAUCCCCGAUGCUCUGUUGCUAUAUAUAUUCCUUGAUUGUUAUAUAACUUCAUUGAUUUACCACUGCUACCUUGAUUUCUCUAACAUAAAUGAGUUCUAACAAGCCUUAACUGCGUGUAACAGAUGGCGACUGAAGAUUGACGCUCGUUCUCUAGGAAUAGAGAGGGCUAUAGAGGCUUCUACACCCUUCUCAAGGAGUGCUUGGAGGAGGCUGGAGUCAGUACUCAAGGCGUGUGUCGAGCAUACAUCCAUGGGCCUACCAGAAGGUUUGUACGGAUCCACAUACGGAGAAGUACAUCGAGAUGUAUUAGGAUAGGGAGACUACGGUACAAGAUGGCAUGGUCUACAUGGAGUCCAGGGGACUAGUCGGAGGCUAGGAAACUACUCUUCAGAGUUAGAGUAGAACUCUGUAGUUGAAUCCGACUAGUACUCUUGUAAAAAAAAACCCUGUAACCCUGCUUCCCCAAUAUAUAAGAGCAGGCAGGGACCCCCUCAAAACAAGUUCAAU
Molecule: long non-coding RNA, 2309 nt
Filed under: Setaria italica (foxtail millet)
Lineage: Eukaryota; Viridiplantae; Streptophyta; Magnoliopsida; Poales; Poaceae
Description: long non-coding RNA (SITA_LNC000563)
Source: RNAcentral